Molecule: long non-coding RNA, 893 nt
Filed under: Heterocephalus glaber (naked mole-rat)
Lineage: Eukaryota; Metazoa; Chordata; Mammalia; Rodentia; Bathyergidae
Description: lncRNA (ENSHGLG00000039258.1)
Source: RNAcentral
AUUUAAUUACAGAAAGUCUAGAGUAAAACAGUUUUUCUUCUUGGUGUGACAUUCUCAAAAUAUAUUCCUGGUUUUCCAAGAAGCAGAGAAUGCCAAGACUGUAUACCUGCUGUAACCUUUCUGGUCCUCAUUCUGCUUUAUAUGCUCAUAGGAUACAAUCUGUUCCUACUUUAUCCACCAUUUCCAGUUUGUACCUGUGAACCUACCUUGGAAGAAGCAAGUAAAGUGAUUUUUUUUCUCCAUUAUUUUUAUACCAAUCCUGAAAGACCAGGCCUUUUGCAGUCAAUGUGUUUAAACUGGGUUGUGUUAUUUGGUUACUUAUGGAACAUACAUUUUGAUAAUAUUUCACUCCAAUAAAUUAAGACUUUGAGUGCCAAGAAUUGCUAAGUAACUGUAACAUUGAAAAGUCACUCCCAAGUAAACAUACGUUCUAAAAUAGUAAAUUUGUUAUAUAACCACUUCAGAUUGUACACUUAACUUUUUUUUUUUUUCAACUCAUGUAGACCCUUUCAGAAGUUGAUUCAGAAUAUGGUCAUGGUCACCUUAGUGGAUUUUGUUCCCUCGUUUUGGUCAUGAAUUACAUUUGUGUUUUUUGCCAAACCAGACAAGCAAGAAAAUAUGCCUAGGACUGAAUAACCUCCCUUGUUCUUUUUGCCACUGGAUUAUGUAAGUUAAGAAUGGAAUUGUUUACCCUAACUAUAUAUUUCUUGACUUCCAUCCAUUUCUAAGGAAAUCUAAUUUAAGUUUUGGGGUUUUGUUUGAUCUGUAUUUAUUGAGUUCUGGUCAUAGACCAGGAGCCUGCAUGACAUGCUUAUUGACAGCCAGAACACAGUCAUUGGGGAACUUAAUGGCUCAAAACUUUCUGAAUAGUUUUAACUUAUUUUGUAUGUUGC